AACGCACAUUGCGCCCUAUGGUAUUCCAUAGGGCAUACCUGUCUGAGCGUCAGCUCCCACACUCUCAAACUUGUUUUUUUCUUUCAAGUUUGGAUUACUUUGAGGAAGUAAAAAAAAAUUUUUUUUUACUCUUCAGAAAUUUAUAGGCAGUAUGGUUUAAUCUUAAAACCAGACGUAAUAAUUUUAUAAGUUCGUCUUGGAGAGGAAAGAUUGUACUCGCCUUUUGAAUACACUCAUAAUCUGUUUAUGGGUGACCUCAGAUCAGGUAGGGAUACCCGCUGAACUUAA
This 288-nucleotide unclassified non-coding RNA is filed under the name uncultured Pezizales. Its description in RNAcentral is "sequence contains 5.8S rRNA gene, ITS2, 28S rRNA gene". The stretch from base 1 to 52 matches the Rfam family "5.8S ribosomal RNA", at positions 103 to 154 of the family's 154-position model. The record is from RNAcentral. Lineage: Eukaryota; Fungi; Ascomycota; Pezizomycetes; Pezizales.